Molecule: non-coding RNA, 430 nt
Organism: Pelobates cultripes (western spadefoot toad)
Lineage: Eukaryota; Metazoa; Chordata; Amphibia; Anura; Pelobatidae
Source: the annotation of a GenBank genome assembly
CUAAUCGAUUGCCCCCUAAGCUAAUUCUGUACAUAUAACUAUGAUUUAUAAAAAUGCUCUAACCCAGUCACCAUGAGUAUGGCUAACCUUUCUUUGAGUUGAUUAAGGUUUCCUUAGCAGGGAUCUGUGCAGCUCUGGUUUGGAGAAUAUGUUCUUGCCUGAUGUAAGUCUAAGAGGGUUAUUCACGAAAGUGUGAAUUUCAAAUUUAAGGUCAAAAUAAUCAAAUUGGGAAAGUUCUUCAAGUUAGCAAUGCUUUCAGUAGGCUAUUUUGGAAAUUACAUUUUUAAAAUUCAAUUCGAAUUUCCGACAACUCUCACUUUAGUAAAUAACUCUAUGACGUAUCCUGACAAUUAAAACUGGUUGGUAAAUGACUAAACUCUCUUCCUAAUCCCAUAGGGGUAGGUCGAAUCUGUCCAUUUUAACACUUCUA